This 498-nucleotide ribosomal RNA is filed under the name uncultured bacterium. RNAcentral describes it as "partial 16S ribosomal RNA". It matches the Rfam family "Bacterial small subunit ribosomal RNA", at positions 30 to 523 of the family's 1533-position model. The record is from RNAcentral.
AUUGAACGCUGGCGGCAUGCUUUACACAUGCAAGUCGAACGGCAGCGCGGGGCAACCUGGCGGCGAGUGGCGAACGGGUGAGUAAUACAUCGGAACGUACCCAGAAGUGGGGGAUAACGUAGCGAAAGUUACGCUAAUACCGCAUACGUUCUACGGAAGAAAGUGGGGGAUCGCAAGACCUCAUGCUUUUGGAGCGGCCGAUGUCUGAUUAGCUAGUUGGUAGGGUAAAGGCCUACCAAGGCGACGAUCAGUAGCUGGUCUGAGAGGACGACCAGCCACACUGGGACUGAGACACGGCCCAGACUCCUACGGGAGGCAGCAGUGGGGAAUUUUGGACAAUGGGCGCAAGCCUGAUCCUGCAAUGCCGCGUGAGUGAAGAAGGCCUUCGGGUUGUAAAGCUCUUUUGUCAGGGAAGAAACGGCUGGGGCUAAUAUCCUCGGCUAAUGACGGUACCUGAAGAAUAAGCACCGGCUAACUACGUGCCAGCAGCCGCCGUAA